Molecule: ribosomal RNA, 3183 nt
Organism: Turneriella parva DSM 21527
Lineage: Bacteria; Pseudomonadati; Spirochaetota; Leptospiria; Leptospirales; Leptospiraceae
Rfam family: Bacterial large subunit ribosomal RNA
Source: Rfam
GGUCAAGUAUUUAAGGGCGUACGAAGGAUGCCUUGGCACUACCAGGCGAUGAAGGACGUGGUUACCUGCGAUAUGUCCCGGUGAGCUGGAAGCAAGCUUUGACCCGGGAAUCUCCGAAUGAGAAAACUCUGUACGGCAAAACCGUAUAAACUCCGCAAGGAGUGGCUAAACUCAGGGAAUUGAAACAUCUUAGUACCUGAAGGAAAAGAAAGUAAAAACGAUUUCGUUAGUAGCGGCGAGCGAACGCGAAAGAGCCUAAACCGGUGUUAUGUCAAGCUUGAGGGCGUUGUGACAUUGGUGUUGUAGGGCUGGCAUGGGUUCACCUCAAUGGACCUGCAAAGUUACCAAAUUGCCAUGUAAGAGAAGUGUUUGGGAAAACACGCCAUAGCGGGUGAUAGCCCCGUAUCUGAAACAUGUGUGAUCUUUGAGCCAGUACCUGAGUACCACGGAGUACGUGAAGUUCCGUGGGAAUCUGCGAAGACCAUUUCGUAAGGCUAAAUACUAGGUAGUGACCGAUAGUGAACAAGUACUGUGAAGGAAAGGUGAAAAGCACCGCGAGAGCGGAGUGAAAUAGAUCCUGAAAUCGUACGCUUACAAGGUAUGGAAGCCCGCAAGGGUGACCGUGUGCCUUUUGUAGCAUGAGCCUGCGAGUUACUGUAUGCAGCAAGGUUAAGGGAUUGAAGUCCCGGAGCCGAAGCGAAAGCAAGUCUGAAUAGGGCGAUUUAAGUUGCAUGCUUUAGACCCGAAGUUGAGUGAUCUAGCCUUGGUCAGGAUGAAGUGGCGGUAACACGCCAUGGAGGUCCGAACUCGUGAAUGUUGAAAAAUUCUGAGAUGAACUGAGGCUGGGGGUGAAAGGCCAAUCAAACUCAGCGAUAGCUGGUUCUCCUCGAAAUGUAUUUAGGUACAGGGUUCGAUGUUUCGUUGUGGGGGUAGAGCGCUGUUUGGGCUAGGGGCCUUACCCGGUUACCAAACCCAGGCAAACUACGAAUACCACAACGUUAGAGUCGAGCACUGAGUCAGUGGGUGAUAACGUUCAUUGGCGAGAGGGAGACAACCCGGACCGACAGCUAAGGUUCCUAAAUCUAUGCUAAGUGAUAAAGGAUGUUCAAUCGCACAGACAAUUAGGAGGUUGGCUUAGAAGCAGCCACCCUUUAAAGAGUGCGUAAUAGCUCACUAAUCGAGCGAUUGGGCGCCGAAAAUGUACGGAUCUAAGCAUAGUACCGAAGCUUCGGAUGUCAGCAGCAAUGUUGGCGUGGUAGAGGAGCGUUCCUACAGCGGCGAAGGUAUAGCGAGAGCAGUGCUGGAGCGGUAGGAAGUGAGAAUGCAGGCAUGAGUAGCGAAAAUGACGGUUAAAUUCCGUCACACCGUAAGCCCAAGGGUUCCGCAGCAAGGUAACUCCGCUGCGGGUUAGCCGGUUCCUAAGGCAAGGCCGAAAGGCGUAGUCGAUGGUAACCUGGUUUAUAUUCCAGGGCUUAGUUUAAGUGGUUUGAGCGAUGGGGUGACGCAAGAAGAUAGGGAAUCAGCCUAAUGGAUGGCUGUAUAAGGUCGUAGGCGUUGAGAUGAUCAGGUAAAUCCGGUCGUUGAGCUGAAAGCUGAUAUCGAGUGGGCCUUCGGGUUUCACGAAGUUUCUGAUUCUAUGCUGCCUAGAAAAACCUCUAAGUGACACUUGAACUAAACCGUACCCUAAACCGACACAGGUGGGCGAGGAGAGAAUCCUCAGGUGCGCGAGAGAAACCUCGUUAAGGAACUCGGCAAAAUAACCCCGUAACUUCGGGAGAAGGGGUGCCUCAUUAUCGUGCAAGCGAGAAGGGGCUGCAAUAAAGAGUCCGCGGCGACUGUUUACCAAAAACACAGGUCUCUGCAAACACGUAAGUGGAUGUAUAGGGGCUGAUACCUGCCCGGUGCUGGAAGGUUAACAGGAGAUGUUAGCAGUAAUGCGACGCAUUGAAUCGAAGCCCCAGUAAACGGCGGCCGUAACUAUGACGGUCCUAAGGUAGCGAAAUUCCUUGUCGGGUAAAUUCCGACCUGCACGAAUGGUGUAACGACUGUGGAACUGUCUCAACGAGGAUCUCGGCGAAAUUGUAGUGGCAGUGAAGAUGCUGCCUACCCGCAGUGGGACAGAAAGACCCCGUGAACCUUUACUGUAACUUGGCAUUGGUUUUCGGCUUUGUAUGUGUAGGAUAGGUGGGAGACUUUGAAGUUGCGGCGCUAGCCGUGAUGGAGUCGUCCUUGAAAUACCACCCUUACGAAAUUGAAAACCUAACCUGGCGUUACUUUUGUGUUCGAAUUUGUCCGGCCUUUGGCCGGCCAAAUUCGUAAAAAGACGACAAGAGCCUUGGAUAGGAUAAAGCUGCGCUUAACGCUCAUCCGUGAGCGGCGCAAGCCCUCGCACCUCGUGUGCUUGGGUUCACAAUCUUCUGUUUCUAAAUUUUUUAGGAUAAGAGUUAACGAGUAUUAUUUAUCUAAGGCUCCGGUUCGAACAUAAAAGCAACGUCAGGGACAAUGUCAGGCGGGCAGUUUGACUGGGGCGGUCGCCUCCCAAAGAGUAACGGAGGCGCCCUAAGGUUCCCUCAGCACGGUUGGAAAUCGUGCGAAGAGUGUAAAGGCAUAAGGGAGCUUGACUGUAAGACUUACAAGUCGAGCAGGGACGAAAGUCGGGCUUAGUGAUCCGGUGGUUUCCGAAUGGAAGGGCCAUCGCUCAACGGAUAAAAGGUACUCCGGGGAUAACAGGCUUAUCGCGUCCAAGAGUCCAUAUCGACGACGCGGUUUGGCACCUCGAUGUCGGCUCGUCGCAUCCUGGGGCUGGAGCAGGUCCCAAGGGUUUGGCUGUUCGCCAAUUAAAGCGGCACGCGAGCUGGGUUCAGAACGUCGUGAGACAGUUCGGUCCGUAUCCACUGUGGGCGUUGGAAAUUUGAGAGGACUUGUCCCUAGUACGAGAGGACCGGGAUGAACGAACCUCUGGUGUACCGGUUGUGGCGCCAGCUGCAACGCCGGGUAGCUAUGUUCGGAAGGGAUAACCGCUGAAAGCAUCUAAGCGGGAAGCCUCCCUCAAGAUAAGAUUUCCCUGGUGGGGUUCGCCCCAUCCUGAAGACCCCUGGCAAACUACCAGGUUGAUAGGCUAUAGGUGUAAACAGGGUUAACCUGUGAGCCAAGUAGUACUAAUCGGUCGUGAGGCUUGACCAU